UAGACAUUAGUAAAAAGUAAACUACACCACCUUGUCAAGGUGGGGGCGCAGGUUAGACCCCUGCAUGUCUUA
This 72-nucleotide transfer RNA is filed under the name Hampala macrolepidota (Hampala barb). Its description in RNAcentral is "tRNA-Asp". It matches the Rfam family "tRNA". Rfam says of the family: Transfer RNA (tRNA) molecules are approximately 80 nucleotides in length. Their secondary structure includes four short double-helical elements and three loops (D, anti-codon, and T loops). The record is from RNAcentral. Lineage: Eukaryota; Metazoa; Chordata; Actinopteri; Cypriniformes; Cyprinidae.